GAAACGGUAGCUAAUACCGCAUAACGUCGCAAGACCAAAGAGGGGGACCUUCGGGCCUCUUGCCAUCGGAUGUGCCCAGAUGGGAUUAGCUAGUAGGUGGGGUAACGGCUCACCUAGGCGACGAUCCCUAGCUGGUCUGAGAGGAUGACCAGCCACACUGGAACUGAGACACGGUCCAGACUCCUACGGGAGGCAGCAGUGGGGAAUAUUGCACAAUGGGCGCAAGCCUGAUGCAGCCAUGCCGCGUGUAUGAAGAAGGCCUUCGGGUUGUAAAGUACUUUCAGCGGGGAGGAAGGGAGUAAAGUUAAUACCUUUGCUCAUUGACGUUACCCGCAGAAGAAGCACCGGCUAACUCCGUGCCAGCAGCCGCGGUAAUACGGAGGGUGCAAGCGUUAAUCGGAAUUACUGGGCGUAAAGCGCACGCAGGCGGUUUGUUAAGUCAGAUGUGAAAUCCCCGGGCUCAACCUGGGAACUGCAUCUGAUACUGGCAAGCUUGAGUCUCGUAGAGGGGGGUAGAAUUCCAGGUGUAGCGGUGAAAUGC
RNAcentral lists this ribosomal RNA (541 nucleotides) under Escherichia coli. RNAcentral describes it as "bacterial SSU rRNA". It matches the Rfam family "Bacterial small subunit ribosomal RNA", at positions 153 to 689 of the family's 1533-position model. Lineage: Bacteria; Pseudomonadati; Pseudomonadota; Gammaproteobacteria; Enterobacterales; Enterobacteriaceae. The record is from RNAcentral.